Molecule: ribosomal RNA, 301 nt
Filed under: uncultured bacterium
Lineage: Bacteria
Description: partial 16S ribosomal RNA
Rfam family: Bacterial small subunit ribosomal RNA
Source: RNAcentral
CAGCAGCCGCGGGAAUACGAAGGGGGCUAGCGUUGCUCGGAAUGACUGGGCGUAAAGGGCGCGUAGGCGGAUUGUUUAGUUAGGCGUGAAAUUCCUGGGCUUAACCUGGGGACUGCGCUUAAUACAGGCAGUCUAGAGUGAGGAAGAGGGUUGUGGAAUUCCCAGUGUAGAGGUGAAAUUCGUAGAUAUUGGGAAGAACACCGGUGGCGAAGGCGGCAACCUGGUCCUUGACUGACGCUGAGGCGCGAAAGCGUGGGGAGCAAACAGGAUUAGAUACCCCCGUAGUCCCUGUCUCUUAUAA